CCUUAAGUUGUCACCCCGGGGAGAAGGCCCACCAAGCGAGUGCCUCGGACUGCCGUGAAAGGCCCUGCCUCGUGGCAAGACAAGCUCAGAAGCAGGACGCUGUCAUCACAGGCUAGAGGCAACAUUCCUUUAGGAAAGGUGCAGAGCCAGCCUGACCAAACACAGGCAGCAGAGCACAAGGGUUGGAGCUGAAGAAAUGGGUUCCCAGAGGAGUCAGGUUUGUUCUUCUCUGUUACAGUGUUAGGUAGAAUCAGUCCUUCUCACUCUACUUCUUUUUCAUGAUUGAUUUAGCCUGUUUCUGGGGCACGUGCCUUUGCAUAAAAUUUAAGAGUAAACCUGUGUCUACCAAAAAAAACCUUGCUGGGAUUUUGAUGGCAUUAUAUUGAACCUGUAAUCUGGGGAGAACUAAUGUAUUUGUUGUGUUGAGUCUUUCAAUCCAUUAACAUGGUAUGUCUCUUCUUUAUUUCAAUCUUUUUGGAUUUUUUUUCAUCAGCACUUUGUAAUUUUCAGGACGUAGAUCCUGUGUAUGUUUUGUCAAGCUUAUACUCGGUGUUUCGUUUUCUUUGGCAUGCCUGUAAAUGGCAUUAUUUCAGAGUUUCAUUUCUGUAUGUUUACUGUCAGUAAAUAGAAGUACUGUUUAUGUUUGUAUGUUGAUCUUGCAACAUUGCUGAACUCACUCACUAGUUCCAAGAGGUGUUUGGUAGCUUCCUGGGUAUUUUCUAUCUAUAAACAAGCAUGUCCCCUGCAAAUAAGUUUUUAAUUCUUCCUUUUCCAUAUGUAUGCCUUUUACUCAUUUCCCCCCCUUAUUACAGUUAAUGGCUAUAACUUCAAAAACUCUGUUGAACAAGGAUGAUGACCCAAAAAAGGAGCUUCCGCUGUGGUACUGCAGCAUUGGCAUUGUCUUGGGAGCACUGGGAGGCAGGUUCAUUCCCCAGCCUGGCACAGCACUGCUGCAGUCGUGGUUUCGUUUGAGACUGUGGCUCAGAUCUGAUCCCUGGCCCGGGAGCUGCAUAUGCCAUGGGGUGGCCAAAAAAGGAAAAAAAAAAAAAAA
Molecule: long non-coding RNA, 1051 nt
Filed under: Sus scrofa (pig)
Lineage: Eukaryota; Metazoa; Chordata; Mammalia; Artiodactyla; Suidae
Description: lncRNA (ENSSSCG00065040846.1)
Source: RNAcentral